This 43141-nucleotide long non-coding RNA is filed under the name Triticum aestivum (bread wheat). RNAcentral describes it as "long non-coding RNA (TAES_LNC027175)". The stretch from base 39637 to 39771 matches the Rfam family "MIR1120/MIR1122 microRNA precursor family". The record is from RNAcentral. Lineage: Eukaryota; Viridiplantae; Streptophyta; Magnoliopsida; Poales; Poaceae.
UUUUUUUUUGUUUUUUGGUUUGUAAUUUUAUUUGAGCACAAGUCUGUAUUAAUUGAUAAGACUCGGAGACAUUUCAUUUGGAUUGUUGUGCUAGACCUACAAAUAUGCCAAUCGGGCUGAAUGUGCAUUCAGCAAUAGUAGUAGUAUAGAUGGACCACAAGUGGCACGCAUCGGAAAGGGCCAAGAUGCUGGCUAAAAAAAGGAUGUUGUUGUAGCAAAAAAAAGUACAGCGGCCUAGCUUAUGUGUGUUAGUUUAUAUUAUUGAUCCAUAUACUCUAUAAGUGUUUAUAUGUCUGUUAGUUCUUUACAUUCUUGGUUGAUUGACUCGGUAUUUGAAUCUUGAUACAUCGCUUGUGUACAUAUCUAAAUGGGAGUACACAUUAUGUUGCGUGUGACAUUUGAGUUGGACAUGAAGUGUUCCAAAUAUUCGAAUUCACCUUAAACUGGAUCCUAGUUUCUGAGUUUGAGUAUCGGCAUUUGUAAAUCAUAUUCAUAUAUGACAGUGGUAUACAUCUUUGUCGUCCUUUUGAAGAUAUAUAAAAACACAUAGAAUGAUUUAUAAAGAUUCAUAUAGGAAUACAAAAUGGAUACGAAUUUAGUUGCCAGGGUAAACGUGGAUGCUUAUUGUCCCAAAAUUCGAAAGAAGCAGCAAAAUGUCCACUCCCACGUCGGCUGCCCGAAGCCAAGUGUUUGGGAGAUGGAAAUUACUGUCUACCCAUUACACGGACAAUCCAUCGGCCCGAUUUCCACUGCUCUAAAUAGGGGUAGGUUAGUAACUUCAAUUAGACGUGACACGACCGCCUCUGAGCCCAUUCCGACACGGUGGGCGUCAAACAUGGGCGGCAAAACACAUUUGAUUCAAGCUCGUCCGAAAGACUUCUGUUUCUCCAUCCAUUCCCCAUUCAUACACAGUGGGCGGCAAAACAAACUCGGCUCGGCCGAAAUCGAUGUAGGCAAAUAUUUUCAAUAGGGGCAGGUUUGUAACUUCACUCAGACGUGACACAACCGCCCUACCUGUCAGCUCUAUUCAUACACCGUGGGCGCCAACCAUGGGCGCCAACCACCCUCUCCUCGCCCGAAAUCGCUCUAGGCAAAUAUUGGCGAGAUGCGAGAUUACUGUCCUAUCCCCAACCGAUGAGACGUCCAAAUUUUAAAUGGGGGCUAAGUUCGUAACUUUCCCAUAUUUCAGACAGCUGCAUCCCAAAAACAUGGUUCCCCGUACCUCUCCCUCCAUUUUCCCAUUCAUACACCGUCCGCGCUAUAACACCCCAUCCCCACACCAGCCUCCGUCCGCCACCCCAUCCAUCGCCGCCGUCCUCCACCACAUCCAUCGCCACCGUCCUCCACCAUGCCAGAGCGCCUACCAAGACCGCGUCGUCCACUGCUAGAGAUGGACGUUUCUCAUCCACCGCGACGGACCAAUAGCCUUGCAUCGCGUCCUCUUGCUUCAUCGGCGCUGUCGUCCUCUUUGCCGGGGCCGCUCACACGACCUUCUCUUCCACCGCAACGGGACUUAUCCCCCAAUGCACCCGUCUACCGUCGCAGAUCUGCUUCAACGUCACCGACAGCCAUCGCACCCCCGAUGCCUACACGGCGCCGCAAGAGAGGUGGUACUUCAUAUCUCCUCAACUUUUUGAUCUCAACCAGAAAAUAGAUCUUUACUUGGUUACUCUACUUUCUUUUCAGCUCUUAGAAUUUAGUUCUUAGUUCGAAGAAAACAAUGGAUGCUAAAUAUCAUUUCUCCAGUUUGCAGCUUCAAAUCUGCCAGGGCACAACCAUAAUACGAUUUAAUUGAUCAUGCUUAGGGUUUAAUUGAUCAUGUUGGUUCCGUGGUGGUUUCUUUAAUAGAAAUCGGAGGGGAAACCCUCUUUUGCCAAAAAAAUAUGCUUAGAGUUUCCCCCUUUUAUGAUCACUAUACGAUCAGAAUACGUGCUUCGUCUCAUAAUAACACUGCUCCACCCAUCAAGCUAAACAAGCUUAGAUGUUCAAAUACGAAUCUGAUAUUAUUCAAACAGAGUUGUUUAAUUGGUCAGCUAAAUGUUCCUAAAUUAGUUUCGAAAAUGCAUGUUCACCGCUCUGGUGUGUAUCUCUACAGGGUGCCCACGAUGGGCCGGCCCACCCUGGGAUUUUGGGUCGUCCCAGGCCCCGAUUCCCCUCUGUUCUGCUGCGCGCUUUCAAUCUCUACUCGCCCCCAGCCGCCUGCCUCGCCGGCGACUUGCCGUCCCCGUAUGGCAUGACUCUAGGAGGAUACGCCGGACUAACAAGAGGCGAGGAGCCUCUCGCCCAACAACGUCAUCGCUGCCCGGGCGCGCCACCGUGCCUACCUUCCCAGUCCGUUCAGGGCUCAGGCGUGCAGCACCCACCAAGCCAACCUGAUUUAUCCUGAGAUACGUCCUCAACACUCAGCAGCCACUCCUCAUCACCCAUUUUGUAAUUGAUUCAUUACUCAUUAGGCAGGACUGUCAUUAGGGUUUGUUGUGUGCUCAGUGCUACCUACACUUAAUGGUUCAGAUGUAUUUCGGUAAUCUUUAGUACCUCUAAAGUUCACAGGGUUUUCAAAAUUCUGGCCCUCGGAACAGAAACUAGUCAUUUUGGAUGUUGGUCGUAGUGACAUUGACCCAGAUUACUACUGCAAGCCAGGUUUGUUGACAAUUUUACUUGUCUUUCUUACUCAUUCGAUAUAAUAUCCAAUUAUUCACGUCAAUUAGUUUCAAACAAUAAGUUCUAGACAAACUUCUUCAUUCAGAUUUUGGACGGUCUCUUACUGGAGUUACAAUUCUGCAUACUUGUCCUAAUAAGCUCACAAGUAAAUGAUUGAUUCACUACAUCUAUGCUUGCCUUGUCAUAUUUGUUGUCAAUAUUCUUUAAGGGUGGACCACCCUGUUUCUAAAUACUGGAACCGUAGACAUGAGUGAAUAGUAUUUCUCUAUGUGAUCUCUUCCAUCAUGUGUGGGUAACGAACACUGCAUUGUAUAGAAAGAAAGUGUCAUUUCCAGCUUUUACAAAGGUUUCGAUCUUUUACAUGGAAUACAAUCUGCCUACUUGCUUUGUGUCGCACUACCAACACUCCACCCUUGAAGCUAAACAUUACGCCACCCAUAAUUGCUUAGUUUAUUUGUUCAAAUACGAAUUUCAUAUGAUUCUAAUGUUCCUACUUCAGUUUUGAAAUGUGUGCCUGCCUGUUAUAGAGACAUAAGGGGUUUGUAUUUCUGUGUGUGGUCUGGUCAGCACGGUUGGGGAGGUGAACUUUGCAUAUGCAGGGGUUUAUAGGGAGACACUCUCCGAGUUGAAUCCGCAAUGCAUUCCAUAGAUAAUCUGACUACUUUUUAUGUUUUCAUGAAUCUCAGAUUCUGAACAGCAUCAUAAUGAUUAUGAGCUUGUGCGCAUGAAAAGAAUAAAGCAGAACAAUGCCAUGGCUGUCAAACUUGGCAUUAAGGGACUGAAAUCAAGUCUGGAUGCAAUGCAAUGCAAACGCUCUCCACCUACAGAUUCAUGCUCAGAAUAUGAUCCUAACAGUGAUUCUGAGCUAGAGGGAGACCUAAGUCAAUGUAGCUCCCUAGUGGAGGAGUCAGAGGAAAAUUCCCUAUCUUAUUCACCCAUCAAGGUACUUGCUCUAACUUUCCAAGGUUACAUUGCUCGCACCUAUCUUGCAACUGAUGCUUUGCAUUGCUUCUACUUUGUUGAACUGCCAUUAGCUUAGUUUACACAUCGUGUAUGUGAAUACGCCCUGCCUAUCCAUUUUCAGUACAUAUUCCAUCGGUCAUCAUACCAUAUUUAUCCAUUCAAAUGUUGUUCUUGUGUAUCAGACGUUCAAAAGGAAUAGGGCGAUUGCUGAUCAUGGAGGAGCACAAGCAAUGUAUUUGGAAAAGGUAGUGGCACCUGAUAAAUCAAAUAGCCCAUUAGGUGUAGUUGCAAUAUCACCUGACCCACAAAAUACCCCAACUCUAGCAGACUCUAGCCCUACUACACUGGUCAUUUUUGAUGCCCCAACUCAGCAGACCCCAACUGCAGCAAAUAGUAUGAUUAUGCCAGUUGACAUAGCACCAGCUGUACGAUGCAAAACCCCCAUUCUAGCAAAGAGUACACCAAAUCCAGUUGCCAAAUCCCUUUUCGAACCAGAGAGAGCCCCAAUUGCAGCAAAUAGGACCCCUGUUCCAAUUCUUCCCAGUUUAGAAGACGAAGCUUAUGUUGUUGUCAGGAACUUUGUGCGCAUCUUUCCUUCAUGGAAAGAUUAUACCGCAGACACAGAACAAUUUCCAGUCUUCCUCGGCAACUUACGCAUAAGUAAUGUACUAAUGUUAUUCAUGGUCAUUACUGCAUAUGUUUCUGCUGACAGAAGACACAAGAUUUCAUUCUUUUAAAUAGGCGAGGAGCAAGCUGGAUUGUGAUGACGAGCAAGAGUUGGUUGCACUUUUCAAGCACUCGUUGAUGAAGUAUCGUUCCUACCUGAGGCAAGAGCACUUCGAUGGCAAGCCUCUAAACGAAAUUUCUGUAAAGUCUCCGGUGCUACAUUUAUCCGAUGGUGACUGGAAUAAUCUUGUUACACAUUGGUCUCGGCUGUAGCAUAAGGUACUGUCUAUGAUAUCACAUCACAAUUUGAACUACAUUUCUGCAUUUGCCUUAAUGUCUCACUUGUACGAAAAAUGUUAGCAGAAGAACAUUCAUUCUCAAGGGACCACAGAAUCUCGCAACUAUACUGCACACUACAUUGCUCUUGUGAGUACCUCUUGCCCUGUAUGACCAUACUUACUUUCAUAGCUGUUUGAUUAUGUAGCAUCACUGCACAUGUUAGCCUCGUAAUCGUCCAUUUGGUGGACAUUAUAAGAUCCGUAUGGACUCUUACACAAAUUUUGAAUCAACCCAAUGCUUUUGAAGAGGUUUAGCUCUGCAGUCCUCUUGUAAGGACUGAACGUGGUCUAUCACUGUACUUGCAUUAACGUUUUGUACAGUACACCAGUGUUCAAAACACUCUUGUAUUAUGGGAAGAGGGAUCGGUUCAUUUUGUAGCAUUCUGCAUCUUAUCUCCCUCGCCCACCAUUUACUAAAAAAAUCAGAUCUAUAUUUAAUCUUACCAACAAGUAGAAUACACAGACAAUGCCAGUGCAGAAGUGUAGCCCAUUGCUCUUGUCAGUACAUUUUGUCCUGUAACGCUUGUACUUCCAGGGAUUGGUAGUUGAUUAUGUAGCAUCAAUCUGCAUCUUAUCUUCAUUAUCCUCUAGCCCUUCCAGUAUUAUCAUAUCUAUAAUUACUCUCUACAAAAUGUAGAGUACAGGCAAUGCUUAUGAAGAAGAUUCUGUGCUAAAAUUCUUGAGUUAUCCUUCCCUUGACAUGGAGAAGGGAAUUAUAAAGCCGGUGUUAACUGUUAAUGUAAGUCAAUCCUUCUAAAGCCUUUAUCCUCGACUGCUGUUUAAUUUUCUCAUACUCCCUAUCGUUUACUGUUGUUUAGUUUGCUGUUUCUACCAAAAUGCAUGUUCGUAAGAACCGUAAGUUCUAAGUUUUACUUGUAAAACCAAAUUCCUUAUUCAUACCAUGCACAUUGCUUAAUACUCCCUAUAUGUAUGCUUGGUUUUGUGGAUCUAUAAUCCAGUGUGUGGUGAAGCAGCCCACGUUUGCACCUUGUCAUCUCCUGUUUUAUAUUACUGAUAUGGCUGAUGAUAUGAACAACAUGCCAUGCACAUCAUCCAAAAUAGAUACAAUGAUUUUCUUUGCCCUUCAUCUAUGCUUGUUAUGUUGACAUGGUAAUCCAGUAGUGUGGUGAAGCUCCUCGCAUUAUGAACAAUGCCAAAUUAUGCUAUUGAUAUUUUGAACUUACUCUUUAUUUUCUAAUUUGAAAUUGGAUAGAAUUGACAGAACAACUAUCAUCUUUGUUUAUACACGUGCUGUCGGAUUUCGGGUUCCAGCAGACCCUUGAGGUUCGAACACUGGGGUGCACACGAAGAUCUCUCCCCUACCAGCUCACGUCUCGAAGUCUCCCAAAGAUCUAAGUAAGAAAGAUGAACACACAAGGGACACAAGAUUUAUACUGGUUCAGGCCACCAUUGUGGUGUAAUACCCUACUCCAGUGUGUGGUGUGGUGGAUUGCCUCAGGGGCUGAUGAUGAACAGUACAAAACAAGAACAGCCUCGCGAGGGGCUGUUCUUGAGCUGGUGCAAUGAACUGCUUGAGUGUGUUCAGUCACUUUUCUCUCUCUCUCUCUCUCUCUCUCUCUCUCUCUCUCUCUGGUUGAUCUCUCCAUGAUCUAGAUCCCUUUUAGGUCUCUUUUCCCCACCCUAUCAUGUGGGUGGCUGGUCCUAUUUAUAGGCGGAGGCCCUGUGCCUCUCCCCAAAUAAUGAGCGGGAAGGGCGCCAACAAUUGGCCAUUUUCAAGGGGAACAUCUUGUACACUUAUCCUGACUAAAGUUGGUCUUCGUCUGCCAAAGGUUCUGACGGUGACGCCGCCCUGGGCUCCACGAUGACCUCCAUCCUGCCUGCUGCCUUGGCCUGUGCUUGCCCCCUUUGCACCGAAAGGGAAACAAGGACACUGCACAGGCCGGCGCCCGCCUGGCACCCGCCUGGUCCUCGAUCGUCAUGGCUUGCGUCACGGGCCCCUCUGGAGGUGCCCUGCCUUGAUCUCUCCGUCUCCUCGCGAGCCUGCCUGAGGAGGCUGCUCCUGAGGAAGCUCCCUGUCGUCCGCCCCGCGAGGCUUGGCCCCUUGUGAGGGUCUUGAGCUUGAGCUGAUGAAGCUGGGAUGCAUUGGGCCCCCACUUGAGCCACGCCGCAGGCCGCAGGCAGGCAAGUCUGGGGACCCCCAUUCCCAGAACGCCGACAGUAGCCCCCGGGCCCAAGGCGCGCCCGGUCUUGGCUUAGCAGAGAAGCGAAGGGGCAAUUGUGAAGCACCGCGGGCCCCAACAACCUGUGGCCUUGGGCGCCGCGUGGCGGUUGAUUGGACGUGGGCAUCUCUGCUUCCCCAUGAUGCCUCAGCAACCGGAUGACUUGACAAGUCCCUGCAUGCAAAAACGGGUCAUGAUUACCUACGAUCGUGGAGGCCGACGGUUGGCCUCCUCCGGCUAUAAGUACGGAACGGCGUGAGCCAUUCCAGUUCAUCUUCCUCUGCUACUCCUCCUCUUCUUCAUCUUCUCCAUUGUUCCGUCUCACGCUGAUGGCACCCAUCUGCCGGUUCCCUGCCGAAGAGAAGGGAAAUGCCCCCCAAGAGGGUCCUGACCCACUUCCGCCGAAGAAGCGGUUAGUCCUCUGCCGCCGAGAUGAGGGUGCGCGGCUGGAGAUAUCGUGUCCCUGGUACGAGCGGCCACCGCCGGGGUUCCCUCUACCCUUGUAUGCUCGGAUCGAGGGCCCUGGAGAAGAAAGCGCCGAGCGACACCGGUGAUGCCGCCAUAGAUGCCGGUGGGUCACGGUGGUGCGCGUCGUUCCUCUUGGAGUCCACGCUGAGGGCUCCUCCCGCGAGCUUGUGCUCCACGCCGCCAUGCCUCCUCGAUCUUGGAUUCGCCUUCCUCCCUCCUUCUCCUUCGAGAUCCCGCCGAGGGGGCCUAUCGAGCUCUGGCUGCAGCACGCUGACUGCAGCACCCCUACGACUGUAGCGGAGGUCGAGGUCACCGCCUCCGGGCAAGGUCUACAUGACCCGUGGCUGGGGCAAGAUCGCCCGGGUCUGCAGGACAGGUGGCGCCCUCGUGAUCCACCUCAGGUACGAUGGCGCCUCCCUGAUGUUCUUCAAGGUCUUCGGCGUGGAAGGACGCCGGCUGGAAUGCUGCCCUGAGAAAGGCGGCCGGGGCGGCCGGAGCCCUGCCAUAGCGAGGACUAGGCUCGCCGAUCGCUUCCCCAGUAGCUCCUCAGGCGACAGCGGAGGUGCCAGAGGAUCCAAUGACUCCGCCGAGCUCCUCGCGACCCCAGAGACAAGCGACGACAGCUAUGAGCCCCGAGCUCGCGUCGCGCUCGGAGCAGGGCGGGCUCGUCCGGCCGCCGACACCACUGAUCUGUGUGGGGUUGGCGCCGGUGCCUGGCGGCCCACUGUUGAUGAUGGCGUCUCUUGCGGAGGUGCGUGUAGUCAGCGCUCUUUAGGAUUAGCUCCCUUUGUUCCCUGUGAGGAAUCGAAGUACCACCCCGCGGGGGUAUAUAAGGCGCGGGCCAUAUCUUUUGUAAAUAUUGUAUCCCUAGUAUGAAUCGAUGCGAGGUGCUUGUCCUGUCCCGGCUCGGCUCCCCCUUUCUUUCCUCACGAGGGCUUGGUGCUCUAUGUUGGCAGGUCUCUGUCCCCAGGAAGGCUUCAGCCGUCGCUGGUAUGCCAGGUCGCGAUGUCGUGGUCAAGGCCAGGAGGUGAGCGGCCCGAGGUCCAGUAAGAGCCCCUGAGUCGCGAUGCUCAGGAGGUCCCCUUUAACGCUCAAGCAGUCUCCGAUGGGCGAGAAAGGCAAGCAGAGUUGCCGUGACAGAGCUGCAGUAGGCGAGGGUUAAGCACUGAGUCGGAUCAGUUUUCGCGUGACUUAUCUCGUAGGCUUGGGGUAGCUUCCAUUGAGGCAUCGGGCUUGCGCGACGGCAACUGAGGUGCUACUGGGUUAGGCGCUCGCGAGCUUCUUCCCUCUCCUCCAUGCUUCCCUUAAUGCUCUACGUCCUCAGGUCCCGGCCCCAAGCGAGCUCAGCCGCUGCUGGUAUGACAGGUCGCGAUGCCGUGGGUCAAGGCCAGGAAGUGAGUGCUGGAGAGCCAGUAAGAGCCCAUGAGUCGCGAUGCUCAGGCGCCCCCCUUUUAACAUGCAAGCGGGUCGUGCCGAAGAGGAGAAGAAGUCUCGCGAUGCCACCAGCAUUACUCCUGGAGCGGGUCCUGCACACCAACCACGAGGGGAAACAAGGCCUGUUGUCUCGGUUAUCAGCUAACCAUCGGUCACUCCGAGGGAGUGAUUGGGACACUAAGGGCCUGGUGAGGUGGCGCCUUGCGGGGUUGCCGCGACCAGAGCUCAGCCACUCAGAUUUUUUGGUGUUGCAGGGACAGACCCAUGCGCAAGUGUCGUGCCAGAGCGAGCGGCGCCAAAGAUAGGCGUUAAUCGAGCAGACGAUUAAGUAUAGCAUGUUAGGCGCGAAGGAGCAAAUUCAUUUAGAUAGAUGCGUGGAAUUAAACGCCACUGGGUCUGGCCCGAGCGGCCUGGGGAUAAUGCAGCCCGAGGGGUGCCCCCAACAAAGCAGAUGAAAAACAUAAGCAAAACGGAUACAUGCCGCAGGGACGGACCCACGCGACCUGGGAAUGAUGCGGCCCUGCGGGCGCUCCCAGCUGAAGAUAAAACUUGAAAAGAUGUCACCUCAUACCAUUGCAGAGCGAGUGUCGGAGUAGCUGUCGACACGCGGUGAAGCAGCCAACCCUCACGAGCCCUCGAAGCCCUAAGCCUCGGGAGGCUCUGAGGGUCCAGGCGGAUCCUCAAGGUCCAUCUCCAUCUCCUCCAGGAACGCAUGGUGCCUAGCCAACUGAGCUUCCAGGAUGAUCCUCAUCAGGCGCUGGUGGGCAGCAGCCGCGUUCGGCAGGCCGAAGGGCAUGCGAACGUAGCUGUGAGGCGGACCCUCACAGCGCCCCACGCAUGAAGGCCAGAGGCGCUCCUGAGACGCGGCUCGGUUGAGCCCCGGUAUGUCGAUGCAGACACGCAACCCACCAUCCUCGCCGGGAUGUGGGGCUGCAGUGGGUAGGCGGUGACUGCCACGCAUGACUCUGGACUCCUGUAGCUCCUGAAUGUUCCUCGCGAUGAACUCCUGGGGGUUUUGCCUUCCUUGCCUUAUACCUUCCUAAGGGAAACGUGCCUUGAAGCAUGCCUCAAAGUGGUGCCCGAGCGCCUCCCUCGUGACCUUGGCGAGGUCGGUGGCCCUCCAAGAGAGAGCCCCCGAGCCCUGCCCGAGGAGGGUGCUGGGCGCGCCUUCCUAUGCGACAGAGGGUGGCGCCCCUUGGUCGGGCGCGGAUCCUGACGCAACGCCUCCGGACGGGCCUACCUCGUGAGUUUUUGGGCUAGGUGAAGCCUUCUUCUUCUUAGGAACUGCCUCGGGGAGCCUCCCGCUCCUGUGAUCUAGGUCUUCGAUUGUCGCGGCCUGGAAGGCACGCUCAAGAGAACACACUGCAUCCCUUUCCUCACAAGGCACUGUGAUGAUUCCACCGCUUCCUGGCAUCUUGAGGACAUUGUAGCCAUGGUGAGUCACUGCCAUGAACUUGGCCAGAGCUGGGUACCUGAGGAUGGCAUUGUAUGGCAAGCGGAUGUGAGCGACGUCGAAGUCAAUGAGCUCGGUGCGGUAAUUGUUGCGCUUCCCAAAGGUGACGGGAAGACGAACUUGCCCUAUUGGAACAGUGGAACCAUUAGUGACUCCUGAGAAAGGCUUGGUUAGCUGAAGCUGAUCGUAUGGCACUUGGAGAUUGUUGAACAUCUUGACGGACAGGACGUUGAGCCCAGCCCCGCCAUCAAUGAGGGUCCUGGUGACUUGCACAUUGCUGAUGACUGGGGAACAAACCAUCGGGAGGACCCCGGCCGUUGCCGCACACUUGAGCUAAUCCGCUGAACUGAACGUGAUAGCGCACGUGGACCACCUAAGUGGGCGUGUGGCCUCAAGCUUGGGGAGGACUCCAUUCACCUCGCGAGCAAACUGCUUGAAGAUGCGCUGAGAGGCUGGGGCCUGAGCGCCUCCCAGGAUGCAAGCGAUUGCGCGUGGCUCCUGGAAGCCCCCAGUCCCUCGUCCUAGUGAUGGUCUUCAUUCCUCCUUGGUGGUGGUGGCAGAGGAGGGAGGCCUGUGUUGCCUUGAGGGUGGUCCUCACGAGGCUGAUCCCUCCAACCUCCCUUGCGAGGCUGGUCCUGCUAGCGGUCUUCGCGAGGCCGGUCAUGCCACCCUUGGCGAGGGCCACGGUCUUCCCAUCGUCCUCCACCUCUUCCUCCUCCUUGGCCAUAGCCCUGGUCGUUGCGGUCGGGGCGUCGGCCGAUACGUCCAUCUCGCACGGCCCUAAGCUCCUGACAUUCAUUGGUGUUGUGGGUGUGGAGGUCGUGGUACACGCAGUACCGGCUGCCCUUAGAUGACUCAGGCUGAUCCCUUCCUCGCUUGGUAUCUGGCUCUGCCGCGAGCACAGCAUCCCCCUUGCACUUCACGUCCUUGACCUUGGGCUUCUUCUCUUCUAGGUCGGCAGCCGGGAGCUCGAGAAGGGAGAGGCGCCCUUCCUCAGCCCUGGCGCACUUGGUAGCCAGGUUGAACAGCUCCAGCGGUGUGCACAAGUCUUCAUGUAUUGCUAGCUCCUCUGUCACGCACGCCGUCGGAGAAGGCUGAAAUGAUGGCCUCCUCAGUCACCUUGGGAAUCUUGAGGCGGACGUUGUUGAAGCGCUGGAUGUAUUUCUGCAGGGUCUCUCCCGGCUAUUGCUUGAUGCGGCGCAGGUCACUCAUGGCCGGGGGCCGGUCUCGAGUACCUUGGAAGUUGGCGAUGAAGCGGGUGCGCAUCUCGUCCCAGGAGGAGAUCGUGCCCGGGGCCAGAUUCAGGAACCAAGUGCGGGCGCCGUCCUUGAGUGCCAUGGGAAACCAAUUCGCCAUGACCUUUUUGUCUCUGUUGGCAGCCUCGAUGCCCAACUCGUAGAGCUGGAGGAACUCCGCGGGGUCCACAGUGCCGUCGUAGCACGGAGGCGGGUCUGGCUUGAACUUGCCAGGCCACGCGACGCUAUGUAGCUCGGAGGUGAAAGUGCGGCAGCCUGAAGUGGCCACCGGAGCUCUCUGCUGAGGUGGGGCUUGCCCCUGGGGAUUCCCGCGCGCCGCUGCCGGGAGCAACGCUGGGUCUUGACGUGGCGGUGUAGGGAUGCGGUCAUGGUGCACCGGUGCUGGGAGCACGCGAGCACCUUCUUGGGGCGAGGGAUUUCUUGGCAGCUCCUUUCUUGUCACGCAGGCGCCGGACACGGCGGGCCUCGACCCGGGGCCGCGCGCCUUGGAGCCAGGAUGCCUUCUUGGGGAGGAGGUGGUGGAGGCACCUCCUGCUCCUCGCCUCCUGCGUAGGAUGGAGGGCGAGGCAGCAAGAGGGACGGCAUGGGAGAGACCCCUGCGGCGCUGACGAGCUCGGUGAUGCGGGCGAGCCAAUCCUCGUAGAGGUCGUCGACGGGGCGCUAGUGAAGGAGCUCAUGGGCCAGGAGCAGCAUGGCAUGCGCGUCCGUGGGGGCACGACGGGCAUGGGACGACGAACCGGCUGGAGUCAGCUACGGGGUGGCGGUGCGGCCAUCGCGCUGCACCGAAGGAUGCAGGGACGAGGCCUGCUGCUUGUUCCCCGCCGGGCCGGUGGUGGCAUUGGCGGCAGGCGACGGAGAACGACAGGGGCGUCCGCCGACGGGCGCCAUCUGGGCGAUGCGGGUGGCGAGAGCAGCCCAACGCUCGACGCGGGCUCGGCGAGUGUCAGCCAUGGUCGCGGUGGGAGAUCAGACACAACUAGCGGAAGAAAGAUUCCGGCGCACCCCUACCUAGCGCGCCAAAUGUCGGAUUUCGGGUUCCGGCAGACCCUUGAGGUUCGAACACCGGGGUGCGCACGAAGAUCUCUCCCCUACCAGCUCACGUCUCGAAGUCUCGCAAAGAUCUAAGUAAGAAAGAUGAACACACAAGGGACACAAGAUUUAUAUUGGUUCAGGCCACCAUUGUGGUGUAAUACCCUGCUCCAGUGUGUGGUGUGGUGGAUUGCCUCAGGGGCUGAUGAUGAACAGUACAAAGCAAGAAUAGCCUCGCGAGGGGCUGUUCUUGAGCUGGUGCGAUGAACUGGUUGAGUGCGUUCAGUCACUUUUCUCUCUCUCUCUCUCUCUCUCUCUCUGGUUGAUCUCUCCAUGCUCUAGAUCCCUUUCAUGUCUCUUUUCCCCGCCCUAUCAUGUGGGUGGCUAGUCCUAUUUAUAGGCGGAGGCCCUGGGCCUCUCCCCAAAUAAUGAGCGGGAAGGGCGCCAAUAAGGGGCCGUUUUGAAGGGGAACAUCUGGUACACUUAUCCUGACUAAAGUUGGUCUUCGGCUGCCAAAGGUUCUGACGGUGACGCCGCGCUGGGCUCCACGAUGACCUCCAUCCUGCUGUUCUGCUGGUCUUGGUCUUGUUGCACCAAAACGGUAACCUUUGCCUGCUGUCUUGGCCUGUGCUUGCCCCUUUGCACCAAAAGGGAAACAAGGACACUGCGCAGGCCGGCGCCCGCCUGGCGCCCGCCUGGUCCUUGAUCGUCAUGGCUUGCGUCACGGGCCCCUCGGGAGGUGCCCUGCCUUGAUCUCUCCGCCUCCUCGCGAGCCUGCCUGAGGAGGUUGCUCCUGAGGAAACUCCCUGUCGUCCGCCCCGCGAGGCUUGGCCCCUCGCGAGGGUCUUGAGCUUGAGCUGAUGAAGCUGGGCUGCAUUGGGCCCCCACUUGAGCCACGCUGCAAGCCGCAGGCAGGCAAGUCUAGGGACCCUCAUUCCCAGAACGCCGACACGUGCAAAACCUGUCAUCUCUCUGCUUUGUUUCAGGGUGAUAUGCCUGAUGGCAUGCACAAGUCUGCUAAAGGCUGUGAGACAAACCCAACAUAUAUUGCAGCAAAGAAGGCAAAACAUCUUGAAGAUAGCGAGACAACCCCAAAGUCUUGUCUUGAUGAAGUGUUCAAGUUACUUGAGACUAACAGUCAGACAAGCUCACAAAAUUCGUUGUCUGAAUCAGUUCGACUUCUUCAGUCCCAAGUUCUAGCAGAAAGGCAUUCUGCAACUCAACUUCGACUUGAAGUCCUAUCUCUAAGAAAGAUUGCGGAGAACACCAAUGAGAACCUCAUCGCUAAACAGCUACACCUGGAAGCUAUGACCGACAUGCUAGGCCAGUCUCACAGCCUUGCUCAGCAGCUUGCACAGCAGUUCCCCCGCAAGGCUAACCUUUCUUGAACUGUCUUGGAAGUGGUCUCGGUUCAGUAUUAUUUUGUUAUGCUGCAAUGGUGCCCAUUUUUUGUAAUCUGCUUCUUCGUUGCGCUUUAUGAUCACUGGUGGUGAACUUCGAUGCCCAAUGGAUGUAAUAUACCUUAAAUCCUUUAUUGCAUAGUGUAGGUUUAUUCUUAGUUACUAUGCUGUAAUUUCUUUAUUGUAUAGAGUAGGUUUGUUCUUAAUUCCUACUAGUUACUGCCAUCAUUCGCUAUCUGAAAAAAAUCAGAUGUAGUCGACCGGGUCGAAACAUUCGACUCUAACGGGCCAGGUUUUUAGCGGGCCACAAUUGGGCCGGCCUGCGUCUUUCUUGGGCCCGAAUGAUUGGGGCCUUCACACAUUGCGCCAGGCCCAAACUUACACCGACCUAUAUUUUAGUUGGGCCUUUUAUUGACCCAGCGCUUAGUUUGGCCCAGGUAGCGUUGGGCCAUUAACAGGCUAAAUAUUGUACUGGCUUGUUACGGCCGAGAUGAAACCACAGGCCUUUAGCAGGCCAAAAUGCAUGUUGGGCCUCAAUUUUCACUAGUCGUCGACGGGCCUUCAGCAGGCCGAAAUGUAGACCGGGCCGUUUUGGGCCCAGUUAGCUCAUGGGCCGUUACCAGGCCGAAACAUAUCUCGGGCCUUAGUUGGCCCACUGAUAUCAUGGGCAUUUAAGAGGCCGAAAGCUUAGUACAGGCAUCAACGGGCCAAAUUACGCGACAGGCCUUUAACAGGCCCAAAGUCACGUUGGGCUUAACUGUUGCCACCUUUAGCACAGGCCAUUAGUGGGCCCGAUGUCCCGUUGGACCAUAUAUGGCCCAUGGGCAGCACGGGGCAUUCCCAGGCCGAAAGUCACACCGGGCUAAAAUGGGCCCAUGUCUACAUCAGGCCUCUAACAGGCCGAAAGUCACUGGGCUGUAGUUGGGCCCAAAUAUUCGGUGAACAAUUAAUGGGCCAGAUCUGGCUUCGGGGCGCAAAUGGGCCCAAAUAUUGGGCGAACAAUUAACGGGCCAGAUCUGGCUUCGGUCCGUAAACGGGCCCAAAUAUUGGGCGAACAAUUAACGGGCCAGAUCUGGCUUCGGGCCGUAAAUGGGCCUUUAUUAAGCAGGCUGUUAUUGGGCUGGCCCACUAGUACCUGAUUAAGUUCUACGGGCCUUUGACUGGGUCGGCCUUUUUAACCUAUAUGGGCCUCUGUUGGGCCCAGCCACGUGUCGACGUAUCAUAGGCAUGUCUCCUCCAAUGGACGGGCGACAUCUGGCCCACUAACGAGCUGACAGGUGUUCCCUUCGGCCAAUCAGAAGUUUACACGUGGAAAUUUCCCAUUGGUCGGGGCUGUUAACGGGUUAUCGGAUCCAAAAUUCGACCCGAUAGCUUAACGGCGUUCCGUUACGGUGGAUGCCAUGUGUCGGUCACCCUUGACGAAAUCACUUCCGUGACGCGUGAUUUAUCGUCAUGGAAGUGGACACUUCCAUGAUGAUAAUUUUGGUAAUGUCAUGAAACACUUCUACGACAGCACAGGUAUGACUAUCUUGAUUCUGUCAUAAAUUUGUCAUGGAUGUACAUGCAUGACAAAAAACGCGACCUACUGUGACAAACACGUAAUCACUGAAGUGUAUUUUUUUGUAGUGUUGGUCCAUCCACGUCUCUGGAGUCUGUCGUUGCACCAGAAACGAUCUAAGUGCAGCAGAUAGAGAAGGACUUUCAUCUUGUCAGGGGCCCAAACCUUCCAGAUGGUCGCUGUGAAGUCGAGUGUCGGGCGGUCUUCGAACUAGACGUCAUAGGCGCAGCGUGUGGAGUACUUGCCGGAGUUUCCCAGGGUCCAAGCGAUAGUGUCGGCCCUUCCAGCCUCUAGCGUGAUGCCAGUGCUUCUUAUCUCCCUGGCGAGCUGCAGCACCAUGUGCAUGAUGCUGCCGUGGUCACCAUGGUGUAGGUCAAGGACCCAUCGGUCUUGAUGCAGGGCUUCUUGGACAAAUCUGUUCUUGCGGACGGAGUGAGCGAACACUGUUGGGUAUGCCUGACAUAGCUGUCUACCGUUGAGCUAGGAAGAGAGCCAGAAGGAAGUCGUUGAGCCGUCCCCAACGGUGACGUACGUGCAGGUAGUGAACAGAGUGCGAUCGGCGUCGUCGCAGGGAGUGCUGGUGCCAACCCAAGGGCGGGAAGGCUGCGUCCAUGCUAGCCAUAGCCAUCGUAGGCGAAGAGCCCGGGCAAACUUUGGCAGAUCAUGGAUGCCCAGGCCCCCUGCGCGCACUGGUGUGGUCACCGCCUACCAUCGGACCUUGCACUUUCCACCAGUGGCCACUUCAUUUUGCGCCCAGAGGAACUGUCUUCUUGCCUUGUCCACUUCCUUGUAGAACUUUUUGGGCGCCCGCAACACCAUGAUGGCGAAGGUGGGCAUCGCUGAGAAAACACAGCAAACCAGGACGCGUCUGUCGGCGAAGGGCAUCAGCCUCCUUUCCAGCCUGCAAGGCGUGUGCAGAUCCUAUCGAGGAUGAAUUGGAGGUGCACUAAUCUGAGCCUACCCGUAGUGAUUGGCAGGCCGAGGUAUCUGAUUGGCAAGGACGCGAUCGCCCCCCAAAAUUUUGCAGAACCGUGUGCAGGUCGAUUUCAUCGCACGCAAUCGGAAUGGCUGAUGAUUUUUCUAAGUUGACGCGCAGCCCGGUUGCCUCUCCAAAGAGAUGAAGGAUGUGCAGCAGCUCGUUGAUCUCCUGGCGCACGGGGUUGAUGAAGAUGACUGCGUCAUCAGCGUACAGGCUAGUGCGCAUGCGCAAUGUUCUUCCGGGGAUUGGUUGGAGUAGGUCGUCUCUAGUUGCAGCUUCUAGAAGUCUAUGCGGGGGUCGAUGCAGAGGAUGAACAGGAGAGGGGAGAGCGGGUCGCCCUGCCGCAGGCCGCGUCGAUGCUCAAUGGGGCAGCCUAGAACGCCAUUGAGCAGACAAACUGAUGACGAGGUUGAGAGGAGCAGGGCAACCCAGUCCCUCCAACGUGCCGGAAAACCCAUUUUUCUAGCAGCUCUAAGAUAUAUUCCCAUGAAACACUGUCAAAUGCCUUUGCUAUAUCUAAUUUCAGCAGGAGGGUGGGUGUUUUGCGGCGAUGGAGAGCACAAACACUAUUCUGGAAGAAGAGAAAGCUGUCGUGGAUGCAUUUGGCCCUCUGGAAUGCGGAUUGCGCGGGGGAGAUGAUCGUGUCAAUGACAGCAGCCAGCCUCAUUGAGAGCACCUUGGCUAUAAGCUUGGCGAUGGAGUGGAUGAGGCUUAUGGGCAUGAAAUCCCCCAUGCCCGCCGCGUUGUCUUUCUUUGGCAGCAAGGCGAUCAUGGCCAAGUUUAGGUCAGAGAAGUUUCCAUCGGCCAGCCUGUAGAAGUGAUCAAAGACUGCCAUGACAUCGUGCUUGAUUGUGCUCCCGCAGGCUCUGAAGAAGGCACCCGAGAAUCCUUCCGGCCCUGGUGCUUUGUCAACUGGAGAGGCGAGGAUGGCAGCCCACACUUCAGGCUCAGUGAAGGGGUUAUCCAACCCAGCAUUUUGAACGCAUGGAAGAUCGAUCGCCUCCCAGUUAAUGGAGCAGCUCCUAGUUUCCUUGGUGCCUAGGAGGGAGGUGAAGUGCAUGUAUGCAACAUCAGCUUUGUCGGCGUGCGAGGUGGCCGUGGAAGAACUGGUUUGCAGAGAAUGAAUGAAGUUCUUCCUUCUGUGGGAGUUGAUCUUGGCUUGAAAGAAUGCAGUUUUUGCAUCCCCUACCUUGAGCCAAGUGAUCCUGGACGCAUGUAUUUUGCGCACACGCUCGAUAGCUGCAAGGCCAACCACUCUUUGCUUCAGUUGCUUUCGGAGAUGGAAUUCAGCAGGCGUGAGGUGUCGCUUUUCCUGGGCAAUAUCUAGGCGAAGGAUGAUUUCCGCGGCCAGGUGUAACUGAACCUUGGCGUCGCUGAAGAGAGACCUGGCCCAGAUUCUGAGGUCGAACAUGUUGCGCUUGAGCUUGAGCUUGAUCAUGGCGAUGGGGUAGGAGGUGGCCACUGCGCGCUGCCCAGCUCGUUCCACAGUCUCCUGAAAGAGCGGGAAACGCGUCCGUAAAGAUUUCAAACUUGAAAGAGGGCCGGCGUGCAGGAGGUACAGCGUUGGCGAGUAGCAGGGGGCAAUGAUCGGAGCAGGUCGUGGAAGCAACCAUCAGCAUGUGGUUUGGGAAGAGGGCGUCCCAUUCAGAAUUGCAGAAGAUUUUGUCGAUGCUGACAAGAGUCGGGCUCUCCCUCUCAUUUAACCAGGUGAAACGCCUGUUCUUGCACUUUAUUUCCUUUAGGCAAGCAGAGUCAAUGGCUCUUCUGAAUUGUCCCAUAAUUCUUCAGUUCAAGUUGAGGUUGCUUUUGUCUCUAGCUUCGUAGAUGACGUUGAAAUCACCAAUAAUCAGCCACAGUUCUCCACUGGGCGGGGCGGCAUUGAUUAGCUUUGCCAAGAAAGCCUCCUUGCGGGCGUUGUCGGCUGGCCCGUAGACAGUCGUCAGCCAGAACAAUGAACUGCACUGAACCGCUGAGACCUUUGUCGUGAUUGAGAAACAGCCAACUGAAUGUGUGGCAAUGUCAACUAGCCAUGUGUUCCAAAAGAUUGCCAUGCCUCCCCUUGUGCCAGCAGCAGGUAGGACCGCGCACCCUUCCAUGGCGGUGCCGCUGAUCUCGCGAGCAGCUUCUACUGACCAGGUUUCAAGCUUCAUCUCCUGGAGACAGAGGAUGGUAGGCCUGUGAGCUGCCGCAAGUUCGUACACAGCAAAACGCCUGGCCGGUGAAUUCAAUCCCCUAACAUUCCAGCUCAAAACAGAUAAAUUUGUGUUAAUCAUUGGGCACACAAAACUUCUCCGGCAACUGAAGAUUUCUAUUGAUUGAAGGAAGAAACUGAUACACAUUCCGCAUAACAGGGGGGCGCCAGAGACCACCAAUAGGCCCCUGAAUUCUCUGGCGCGCAGCGAGCAAGCUAAACCUAUGACAGGAGCUACUGACAAACGACAUUGAUCCUAACUUGAAUUGGCUUAAGGCCAAUCGCUGCCGAAGACUAAUACUAAUAGAUAGAGGACCUAUCAUAACUAAACUAGGUUGUCAGCAACAGCAUCAGGGCCAGCCAUGGCACCUGCGAUGCGAAGCGCCUCCGGAUUGAGGCGGGUGAGCUUGGCGAUGAUGGCGAUGUCUUCAUCAAAGAGGGGCUCGUCGAAGCGCUUGAUGAGGGCCUCAGCAGCUUUUGCAGUCAUGGCUUCCUUGGGGCCGAGUAGGCCGAGCUGCUUGACCAUAAGCACAGAGGCGCGCUGCGCCAUAGGUGCCUUGUGGCCCGCAGCCGCCUGCCGUGCGCUCUGCCUGGUCGGUGUAGCGCUGGUGCGAGUCUUGGAAGGUGUCGGGGUGCGGCGGGACGGUAGAGCAGUGAUGAGAGGCGCCGAAGGUUUGGAGAAUAGGCUGCUGCUUGGCCCCGCGUGCCCGUCCCCGCUGCCAAGCUGGAGCUGCAUGACCUGCUGUGUCAUAGCGCCAACGUGGACAGCAGUGGAGACGGAUGAGGGAGGUGCACGACAGGCUGCCAUGACGGGCUCGGAGGAGAACUCCAGUGGGGCGGCGAGCGCAUCAGCAAUGACCUGAUCGAUCUCUUGCUGGUUGUUGCCGAUGUCGAUGGCGAGCGGUGGCGGCGGGGGGGGGGGGGACGGAAUCCGCCGUGGCGAAGAAGGCAGACACAGGCGACGUAGGGCCAACGGGUAGCGGAGGGGCGACGAUCCCCGUGCCAGUGCCGCCCAGCCCCGUAAGCAGCGAGAGCGGCGGCGUGGCCUUGAGGUUGCUGCCGUUGGAGCGAUGCUCACGGUGCCCGCCCUUGUGCUGGCGCCUGCCAGCAGGUGUCCUGCUUCUCUGCCUGGUCGGGGCCGUGGAGUUGCUCCCUGCCUUGUGCUCCUUCCUGCUAUGCGCACGCCACAGGAGGGCGUCCUUCCAAGAGCGACGGCCGUGCGCUCCGUCUUGGUCGUCGUGGUCACAGCGCGGCCCGAGCUGCAGGCCGCCGCAGCCUGCCAGCGAGACCACGGAUGGGUGGCGCCUGGGCUGGCCUUGGACGUCUUCCACGUGCAUCAUCCAUGUGCCAGUCCAGGUCGUCGGGCAUGGGCGGUCGUCGUCGGAGCCGGAGGAAGGGAGACCGCUCUGGCCGGAGUGGGAGGAGCGGGCCGACGCGGUGGACCAGUCUUCCACGCGGUCGACAUGGAUGAGCAGCUGGUGCUGCCUGACGCGGGGUGGUUGUUCGACCUCGCGGCUUGGAGGAGAGGCGCCGAGCAUGGUCUCAACGCGGCCUACGCCGCGCGUGGUUGAUACGUCUCCAACGUAUCUACUUUUCCAAACACUUUUGCCCUUGUUUUGUACUCUAACUUGCAUGAUUUGAAUGAAACUAACCCGGACUGACGCUGUUUUCAGCAGAACUGCCAUGAUGUUGUUUUAUGUGUAGAAAAGAAAAGUUCUCGGAAUGUCCUGAAAAUCCACGGAGGCACUUUUUGGAAAAUAUAAAAAAUAUUGGCGAAAGAAUCAAGACCAGGGGGCCGACACCUUGUCCACGAGACAGGGGGGCGCGCCCCCUCCCCCUGGGCGCGCCCCCCCUAUCUCGUGGUCCCCCUGGACCUCCACCGACCUCAACUCCAACUCCAUAUAUUCACGUUCGGGGAGAAAGUUUCAUCGCGCUUUACGACAUGGAGCCACCGCAAAGCCCUAAUCUCUCUCGGGAGGGCUGACGUGGAGUUCGUUCGGGACUCCGGAGAGGGGGAUUCGUCGCCGUCAUCAUCAUCAACCAUCCUCCAUCACCAAUUUCAUGAUGCUCACCGCCGUGCAUGAGUAAUUUCAUCGUAGGCUUGUUGGACGGUGAUGGGUUGGAUGAGAUUUACCAUGUAAUCAAGUUAGUUUUGUUAGGGUUUGAUCCCUAGUAUCCACUAUGUUCUGAGAUUGAUGUUGCUAUGACUUUGCUAUGCUUAAUGCUUGUCACUAGGGCCUGAGUGCCAUGAUUUCAUAUCUGAACCUAUUAUGUUUUCAUGAAUAUAUGUGUGUUCUUGAUCCUAUCUUGCAAGUCUAUAGUCACCUAUUAUGUGUUAUGAUCCGACAACCCCAAAGUGACAAUAAUCGGGAUACUUCUCGGUGAUGACCAUAGUUUGAGGAGUUCAUGUAUUCACUAUGUGCUAAUGCUUUGUUCUGGCUCUCUAUUAAAAGGAGGCCUUAAUAUCCCUUAGUUUCCGCUAGGACCCCGCUCCCACGGGAGGGUAGGACAAAAGAUGUCACGCAAGUUCUUUUCCAUAAGUAUGUAUGACUAUUUAUGGAAUACAUGCCUACAUUACAUUGCUGAACUGGAGCUAGUCCUGUGUCACCCUAUGUUAUAGCUAUUACAUGAGGAAUCGCAUCCGGCAUAAUUAUCCAUCACUGAUCCAUUGCCUGCGAGCUUUUCACAUAUUGUUCUCCGCUUAUUUACUUUUCUGUUGCUACUGUUACAACUACUACAAAAAAACCCAAAAACUAUUAUCUUUACUUUUGCCACCAUUACCUUUAUUAUCAUACUACUUUGCUACUAAUUACUUUGCUGCAGAUACUAAGUUAUCCAGGUGCGGUUGAAUUGACAACUCGACUGCUAAUACUCAAUGAUAUUCUUUGGCUCCCCUUGUGUCGAAUCAAUAAAUUUGGGUUGAAUACUUUACCCUCGAAAGCUGUUGCGAUCCCCUACACUUGUGGGUUAUCAGCGGUGUGGCACCCCAGCUCAGAGAAAACCGGAACGCCUCGUAUUCCAGCCCAGAGAUCGAGGAGAAGUCUUCUGGAAUACGACACUGCUUAGCAUAGAACAAACCAGCCUUCUAUUAUUACACGAAUAUGAAUACAAGGUCUCCGAUAUUACAAUGAAUAACAUCGGUACGGCGACACUACGCCAUCCUCAGUUGCUCUAUGCAAGCAGCAGAACAACUCGAAGCAGCGGAAUAACUCUAGCAGCAGAACAACGACGACGGUGGUGAACUCCACUCCGCAGGGACUCUGGCUAGAACGCUUAUCCUAGCUUGCACGAAUGGAAACCACGACAAGCAAGCAAUCAAAUCCGGCAUGACCUGCAAACUGGCAUGACACGUCAGGUCAGUACAUUGAAUGUACUUGCAAGCUCAGAAUAACCAGAAGCAUUCAAGACAAACAACAGCAUGGCAAUUACAGGUUAAGCAUAAUUUAACAUGAUAUCAUCAGAAUAAUAUAGCAUGAACAUGAUACAGCUAACCCAUCAUGAACAUAUUAAUCCAACAAUACUAGCAUGCAACGUGAUGACACUAUAUGCACCACUUAUUCUGCUCGGGUUACCUCGUAACCAAUAUAGGCAUCACUUACCAACCUCGGACAUCACACGAUCAUCCUAGAUUCAAAUCAAGCUUGGUAUGAACAAUACCGUAGCGAUCAUUAAAUGACCACAAGGAGCUUGAUCUUUACCCACGAUUCUCGCACAACAUCACGAAUAUACACAGCUCGGUAUCCUCGAUACCACCGUGAUCCUUACGGCGAUCACAACCCAACCAACACUUGUCCCGUGAUCCUCACAGCGAUCACAACCCAACCAACACUUGGCCCGUGAUCCUUACGACAAUCACAACCCGACCAACACUUGGCCCGUGAUCCUUACGGUGAUCACAUCCCGACCAAUAAAUGGCCCGUGAUCCUUACGGCGAUCACAACCCGACCACUAAAUGGCCCGUGAUCCUUACAGCGAUCACAACCAACUUAUCUCAUUGUUAUUAAGCACAUUAUUCUUAUUACUGUUGACUCACGGUGUGACCUACUUUCGACCUGGGCCCUUAUCCGCCGGCGCGGCUAUCGAUAGAUUUAAUAUACACUCUGUAGAGGUUAGUACACUGUACCCACACUACAGAACCCAUGGCCUCGCAAUCCCAUUCAGGUGGACCAACGGCGUUCCUACCAAACCGUCCUACUGCCAUGACACUCUCUCGGCCACUCCGACUCACUCCCCUCUGGGCUAAGUCAUGGGUGGACCCGUGUCUACCUCAAGACACCUCAACGACCACCGUCGUGGCCCAAACAUAAACGAUCCCACACGGGGACCUGGAUCCAUAAACUCAUCAACGGGCACACAAGGCUUAUGUCCGCCUAAUUGAUCAGGGUAGCGCGCGCCCAUAACCUUCCCUCGUUGGAGGCACCGGCGAGAGGCACGACAAUAGACCCAGUUAGGACCAUCCCAUACCGGUAAGCAUGGUUGCACUGGUCAGCAUCAUUUCAGUGGCACCAUGACUCAGCCAACAGUUGUUCAAGUUCAAUUUAGUCCGUUUAACUUGAAUGCAAAUAUGAUGAGCCAUGAUAAAAUGCAUGAACAUGAUAUCAACAUAAUCAUAAGGGUAUCACAUGACUAUCCACCAUAUCAAUAAUAAAUCAUAUCCACCGAGCAUGGCAUACUGACUAGCAUGACCAUCACCAACAUCAACAUGUACUACUAGAAAGCAUAAAUAUAUGAAAGGAAAUACUAGCAGGUAGGACAUGAUAACAGAGUACAAAACAACAUACCACAAAAGUGAACAUGCAAAUCUAAACAUCACCGGAACAACGAUAACCAUCUUUUCAACAAGCAAACAUUUAAUAAAGAUUUAAGUUGAAAACCAUGGCUAAUGCAUGACUAUCAUGCAAGUGGGUAUUGUGGCUUGCCUAGGUGGAAGAAAUCACUGGGGAGAAGUGCGAGAAACUCGCGGAACAAAUCGCCGGAAAAUGUUCUCUCUCGGAGGGGGCUGAAUAAGGGCAAGGGCAUAAUGGUCAUUUUCACAGGAUCAAACCAUAGUGAAAGUAAAACCAACAGAACAGGCUUGACGAAACAAAGAAGUGGGCUUUGGAAUCACCUCAUUUGGAGUUACAGAUAAAAAGUUGUGAGGGGUUGAAGUUCAGGGACUUUUUUGUAAAAAUAACAUCACAACCAAGUCCCUGAGUGGAUAAGGCAGAAACGGGUUUGCAGAAAUACAAUUUCGGAAAGCGAAGACGUAAUCUGUGGAUUACGUCUCCACUUAUCCUCAUCAGCGUACCUGGGUCGACGCGGGGCCGGCGGGCUAGGAGGCUGACGGGCGGGUCCCACAGGCUGUGGGGCCCGUCACUUAUCCACGUGGGAAGCCCGGGUCAACGCCCGCUCGCCGAUGGGUGGGGCUGCAUGGAGAUGGGGCCCGCCUGGCCCGAGGUCGUCGUCCACCUCAAGCCUCCCCGCGAGGCAGAGGAGGACCGGCGUGCUCCGGCGAUGAGCUCUGGCGCCACAGACCGCCUCCGGCGAGGCUACGGGCACCGAAGAGAUCGGGGAGAGGCGCCGCAUCCAUCCCGCCUGGGCACGGACGUCGAGGAGGACCGAAGCAAUGAGGGAGCGGACUCAAGCGGAGAUGGCUUCGGGUGGGAUUUGGCUACGGGGCUGCACGGCACAGCAGCGAGGGGAAAGGAGUUGGGGCGAGUAGCUGGACUCCGGGGAGGCUAAUGGUGGGGGCAGAGCGGAGGGGAAGGGCUCGGCUUGCCCGAAUCGAAGAGGGGCAGAGGCGGCGUCCAUGGAGGCAAGGGAGGGCUCAGGAGCUCUUGGAGCUCGAGCGAGUGGACGGGGUGGGAGCUGGGAGAGAGGCGAGGCCAGAGGUGAGCUCGGGAGGCUCGGGGGAUGGCUAUUUAUAGCCACAAGGUGAGAUGGCCGAACUGGCACCGCCGCGGACGUGUGGACGACGUCGGGGACGCGUGUGCUCGCACAUGGGCUCGAGGGAAGGCGAGGCGAUGGACAGGGAGGAACUCACGGGGUAGAAGAGGUCGAGGGAUGUGAUACAUCUCCGUCGUAUCUACUUUUCCAAACACUUUUGCCCUUGUUUUGGACUCUAACUUGUAUAAUUUGAAUGGAACUAACCCGGACUGAUGCUGUUUUCAGCAGAAUUGCCAUGGUGUUGUUUUAUGUGCAGAAAAUAAAAGUUCUCGGAAUGACCUGAAACUCCACGGAACACCUUAGAAAAAACAAUAAAAAAUCCUCGCAAAAGAUGAAGACCAGGGGGCCCACACCCUGUCCACGACGGUGGGGGCGCGCCCCCUACCUCAUGGGCCCCCUGGUGGCCCUCCGACGCCAACUCCAACUCCAUAUAUUGGCUUUCAGGGAGAAAAAAAUCAGAGAGAAGAAAUCAUUGCGUUUUACGAUACGGAGCCGCCGCCAAGCCCUAAUAUCUCUCGGGAGGGCUGAUCUAGAGUCCGUUCAAGGCUCCGGAGAGGGGGAUUCGUCGCCGUCGUCAUCAUCAACCAUCCUCCAUCACCAAUUUCAUGAUGAUCACCGCCGUGCGUGAGUAAUUGCAUCGUAGGCUUGCUGGACGGUGAUGGGUUGGAUGAGAUUUAUCAUGUAAUCGAGUUACUUUUGUUAGGGUUUGAUCCCUAGUAUCCAUUAUGUUCUGAGAUUGAUGUUGCUAUGACUUUGCUAUGCUUAAUGCUUUUCACUAGGGCCCGAGUGCCAUGAUUUCAGAUCUGAACCUAUUAUGUUUUCAUGAAUAUAUGUGUGUUCUUGAUCCUAUCUUGCAAGUCUAUAGUCACCUACUAUGUGUUAUGAUCCGGCAACCCCGAAGUGACAAUAAUCGGGACCACUCCCGGUGAUGACCAUAGUUUUAGGAGUUCAUGUAUUCACUAUGUGCUAAUGCUUUGUUCCGGUUCUCUAUUAAAAGGAGGCCUUAAUAUCCCUUAGUUUCCAAUAGGACCCCGCUGCCACGGAAGGGUAGGACAGUGUCAUGCAAGUUCUUUUCCAUAAGCACGUAUGACUAUAUAAGGAAUACAUGCCUACAUUACAUUGAUGAACUGGAGCUAGUUCUGUGUCACCCUAUGUUAUGACUGUUACAUGACGAACCGCACCCGGCAUAAUUAUCCAUCGCUAAUUCGGUGCCUACGAGUUUUCCAUAUACUGGUUCUCGCUUAUUUACUUUUCCGUAGCUACUGUUACAAUCACUACAAAAUACCAAAAACAUUACUUUUGAUGUCUUUACUUUUGUUACCGUUACCACUACUAUCAUAUUACUUUGCUACUAAACACUUUGCUGCAGAUACUAAGUUUCCAGGUGUGGUUAAAUUGACAACUCAACUGCUAAUACUUGAGAAUAUUCUUUGGCUCCCCUUGUGUCGAAUCAAUAAAUUUGGGUUGAAUACUAUACCCUCAAAAACUGUUGCGAUCCCCUAUACUAGUGAGUUAUCAGGACGCAGGGACGAAGACGACAGCGACGAACUGAGCCAAAAUGCCACUGUGCUCUCGUGGGCGUUCGGCGGCGAGCAUCGGUGAGGAAGAGGACGGAGGGGGAGAGGGGUCCAGGGGAACGGCGAUGAUGAGAGGAAGCCAAGGGACAUGCUCACGAGCGCGAAGACAGCGAGAGGGGGAGGGGGUCCAGCACAAACAGCCACUGGACGCAGCCACUGCACACAGAGCGCAAGCACAGGCACGCCAUUGUCAUGGUCACCACAUGCACUGGCAUCAAGAGGGGCCAAAUGGCUGGCAAAUGUUGUCUAGUGGUAAGUCCGUCGAAGGUGGGUUUCAACUGAGGUGGUAGUUUGGUGAAAACGUCUGUGAUUAAAAGGUUAGUGAGCUCUAAAGUUUACUGCAGUAAACUUUAUCAGCUCAAUGUGAUCAACAGGGAUAUGCUAUGGGCCAAAUAAGUUGUCUGGGGUGUUUAGCUAUGGAGGGACUAUGAUCCUGGAGGUUUUGAGGGUAAAUGGACCCAUAUUUACUGCAGUUGCUUCACAACUGACCAAAAUGGUCCAGAAACUAGACCAACAAGAUGCACUCACAUGGAGUGUUCACUUGAGCUCAAAUUGGGCAAGGCUUGAUCAUUUGGUCAUAUGAAUAUGCUCACCAAGUAUCAUACCAUUUGGCAAAGCCAAAAUGGUACUUGCUUCACAAACAUCUCUGCUGACCAAAAACUUGAAAUAAUAUUGGUGAUCAAAUGGCUCAAUGAAAUGAUGCCAAAUUGGGUUGAGAGAGGUUUUAUGGGUAUAGAAUGAUCUGGUAAUUUAUCAGGAUUUUUGAAGCAAUAUAAAAUAUACUUGCUUCACAACCUGAAAUAUUGCCAGAAACAAAGAUUUGCUCCUGUGCUCACAUAGAUAAUUGGAUGGGGCUGCAAAUGGGUGGAAGGGGUUAAAAUGAGCACAUUAAGGAGUGUGCAAAAGUUCAGCUCAUUUGGGUACCCCUAGCUAGUAAUUCCUUCACAAAGCCUUCUGUUUGACAGAAACUUUGAAAAUUCACAGAGGAAGAUUGGCUAGGCAAAUAUAUUUGAAUUGUGCAUGGGGCAACUAUUUGGUCAUAUAUACAUGACCAAAAAGGUUGGGAGCCACUAGGAAAAAUAUAAAUGACACUUCCUUCACAAAGUGCCAUUUAGGGCAGAAUAGAAAAAGGAAUAUUGGGGAAUUAUUUUUGAACAUGGCAAUGAAUAGUUUUGCCAUAUUUGAUCAAGAUAUGACCCAAACAAUUUAUGAGAAUUAUUUGGGAAUUUUUGGAGUGAUGGAAAUAUACGUUGCUUCACAACCUAGGGCAAUUUGAGUUAUUCCUUUAAUAGAAAAGGAAUAUUCCCUAUAAAAAGAAUAUUGGGAUAUGGGCUAGGAUGAAAAUGACAGGGUCUAGGGAAGGAUUUGGGAAUGACAAGCCACUCUAGAAGCAAAGAAGAGGUCAUCUUCUUCAGUUUCCAGACCACAAAGCCACGAAAAAGAAAAACUCAGGCAAAAACCUCGGAAAAACAAAAGAAAAAGAAAGGGCCAAAAAUCAGGUUGUCACAAACCUUACCCCCUUAAAGAAAUCUCGCCCUCGAGAUUUGGUUGCUCAGGGAACAAGUAUGAAUAUUCUAACUUAAGGAAACCGUUUCCAACACGGGUAUCCUUUUCCCUUUAUUGUUGUUCCCACUAAAUUUUUAUCCAACUGGCCCUGGGGUAGUUUUAUUGACUGUAUCCACAUUCUGACAGAUCUUACCUGGCCUUCUCAUUCUUAUAUAGGCUCCAAUUUCUUUUUAGAUCUGCUGACUUGCUGAGUGUGAUAUAAUUAUCACGACUGAAAUAUAUGUCUGUCUCACCAAUCCAAAAGUGAUUUCCGCUGGGUGUGUCAUCCGGCACUGACAACCUUUCAUGUAAUGAUGAUCAGAAUUUUCUGAUGAAAACUCAAGCUCUGACUCAUUGCAUUGGGUUUCUCCACUAAAUGCAGGUCCUUUGGGUUCCAAACAGUGAGUUAAAACAUAACCGUUUACUGGUAGAUUCUGACUCAUCGCAGAAGUUUCUAAAUUAUUCUGACUGACUUCACUCUCUUGAGCCUCAGAUUCGUUCCAAAUAUUUGAUUGUCUCCUAUCGCGGCCAGCAUAAAGGGUUUGGCAUGUAUGAUAAUAUCUGCAGACUUGACUGACGGUGGUUCUGAUGGAAAAAAUUUGUUCACGACAGGCUAUUCAUGAUGAUUCAUAUAAGUGAGGACUCAUGCUUCCAGACUGUUAUUCCUCAUGCCGAUUACUCAUGCUGUAGGCAUAUCCAUGUGGAUCAAUGCUGACUUAGACUGUCCGGGGGAUCUGCACCAUGGGGGUCGUGUACAAUUUUCAUACCUGCAUCACUGGUCUUGCUUCUUCAUUAUUGUUUUCUUGGUCGGGAUCCUUGGCUGAAAGAGCUGGGCCAUAUUGUUUCUUUGUACGACCAUAGGUACUGUCGGUGCAAUUUUUCAGCAAUUGUAGUCCUCAUUUUUCUGACAGGAUAACCAUUAAAUGGCAGGUUCAAUACCUCUCAAGUUUUGAUCAUUGGGAAAUGAUCAUCCGAAACCCUUGCAAGAAACUGGCAAAUAAAUCAGUAGCCACCAGAACGGUCUUUACAACUCAGAUCUGGGACAUUACUGAAAUAACUCAACCAUGGCUCAGGAUGGCUGAAAAGCAGCUCAGAGCAUGAGACCGGGUCGAUAAGAAUAAGGUGGCAGCUCCCUAAAAUAGCCAAAAAGCAGCUAUAGGGCUACUGUCACAAAAAUAAAUUCAACAGUUGUAUGAGACGACCGAAAAGCAGCUCAGACUCGUGACAUUCGUUGAAGAGAGAAAUAAAAAUUGGCAUCCACCCCGGAUAGUUAGAAACAGCUCAGAUCACAGGCGUGGUGCCGUCAUUGGAUAAAAGGGGACAAGGGCUCAUCAGGAUCAUUUUCCAGGUUCACGGGUACUUGUAUUGAGCUCAUUGAUGUCGUCAAUACUCAUAAUCCUUUGUCACACUGUGGUGUAUACUGGCAUUAUUCUUGUAACCAUCCUCACGUGGUUGUCAGAUCCUCAUCCGAGUGACUUGUAAGAUCUUGGUGGUAUGCUCACUGCAUAUAUAUGAUGACCUGAUUCCGAGACAGACGUGUAUUCUGGCUGAUUCUUGAUUCUGACCUAAAUGUUGUGGAUCUGAUUCUUGGGAUUCACUGCCAUAUGCUAUCAAUUCACAGCGUACUACCUUGUACCCGUGUCUUAUUGAGGAAGAUUUGCUGGCUUGUGCUCGAAACUUUCAUCGGACAGCUUGUUGAAGAAGACUGGGUAUCGUGCUUCAGAAGCUUACCCCCUUAAAGACUUUGCUGGGGAAAGACUCAGUACCUUAUGCCAGAAUCUUUUGCGGUUGCUUACUGAAGAAGACAGGGUACCUUGCAUGGGGAAUCAUCCACGUAUCAUACUAAGGAAGAUAGAUGAAUCUUGCCUUGGAAGCCUCUCGGGUAUCUUGUGAGGGAAGAUUGGGUUGCUUACACCAGAAGCUUCUUAUUGUGAUAACCAUCUGUAUAUUUUUGCUAUUGAUUUCUUGCAUGAAACGGGGUUUUGCAGGACUAUUCUCAUUUCCGAGUACAUGCCAUAUUUUUGCUUGCUUCCAGGUACAUCGAGUUCCAAAAUCAUCCUCAACGAAAAAUUAAACUUGUAUCUGAUCCAUACCUUUGAUAAUAUUCUGCCAACCUUGCACACAAUUUAUCUUCUUGCGGAUUUAAUCAUUUUGUUGUGAUGAGUGCACGCUAAUGCAAACUUGAUACUGACGAUUCAUCCAGGAUUUCUUUUGCAUCUAGACAAGAUAUUCCCAAUUUCACUACAGUCAACUGAUAAUUCCAUUCUGUUUAGAUGAGUUUCCAAAUAUAUGCAUUUCGUGCUGACUCUUCGGGUCCAGUGUCGGCUGACGAGCAACUUUAAUAGGGGAAAAAAUUGUAACACCGAAGGCCAAAAAAAGGAACAACAGAAAGACUAAAACAAAAGCACACAAGCAUUCUACUAAUAUAAUUAAUCAAGCAAUCAUCACAUAUUACUGCUACUCACACAAUAAUAUGCAUGCACACCUAAGCACACUAAUCUUGCGGAAACUCCGGUAUUGCGGUCUAAUAUGCUAUGGCGGCGUGCACGAAAAUUAUAUCCAUGUGUGGAAGAAUUGGUGUAAACAGCGCUACACCAAGUGCUAGCUUAGCCAGAUAGCAACCUGGACUAGCUCGGAGGCGAGGACGCACUCGGUAAUCAUGAAGUGGGACACGAAAGUCGCAACCACAUUAUUAUCAAGCGGACGGAAAAAGAUCCGUACUCGUCCAAGAAAUAGGAUUGCGGGGAAAAACUGAGGCUGCGGACAUUGCCCUUUUCUUGAUAACUAAGAUCAUUAAGGGUUGCCAACAUGACAAAAUGGAAGAUCCGGGAUAGAAACAUGUCCAUCACCGAAAUGAUAGACGGGACUGAAAGAAAGACAUCGACGCGAUACCUGAGCACCAUUUUUGCAAACGGUGUCGGGAUCUCUUCGCAUCACUCUGUUGGGACAGAAAUGACACCAAUCACCGAAAGAAAAAGGAACGGGAGAAAUGCAAAGGUUGAGCUGUAGUGGACCCGAACCAAUGCCAGCUACACUCACCAGAUAAACUGUUAGCGACUAAAUAAUAAUCUACAUGCAUGCUAUGCGACAAACAAAUGCAGCAAUCAAGUGCAACAAACCAACUGGGGUCCAUACUAACGCUUUCUAACGUUCGUGCGGUCAAGGGCGUCCUACAGCCAGACCUGCUCUGAUACCAAGCCUGUGGCACCCCGGCUCAGACAAAACCCGAACACCCCAUACUCUAGCCCAGAGAUCGAGGAGAAGUCUUCUGGAAUACGACACUGCUUAGCAUAGAACAAACCAGCCUUCUAUUAUUACACGAAUAUGAAUACAAGGUCUUCGAUAUUACAAUGAAUAACAUCGGUACGGCAACACUACGCCAUCCUCAGUUGCUCUAUGCAAGCAGCAGAACAACUUGAAGCAGCGGAAUAACUCUAGCAGCGGAACAACGACGACGGUGGUGAACUCCACUCUGCAGGGACUCUAGCUGGAACACUUAUCCUAGCUCGCACGAACGGAAACCACGACAAGCAAGCAAUCAAAUCCGGCAUGACCUGCAAACUGGCAUGACACGCCAGGUCAGUACAUUGAAUGUACUUGCAAGCUCAGAAUAACCAAAAGCAUUCAAGACAAACAACAGCAUGGCAAUUAGAGGUUAAGCAUAAUUUAACAUGAUAUCAUCAAAAUAAUAUAGCAUGAAUAUGAUACAAUUAACCCAUCAUGAACAUAUUAAUCCAACAAUACUAGCAUGCAACAUGAUGACACUAUAUGAACCACUUAUUUUGCUCGGGUUACCUCGUAACCAACAUAGGCAUCACUUACCAACCUCGGACAUCACACGAUCAUCUCAGGAUCAACUCAAGCUUGGUAUGAACAAUACCGUAGAGAUGAUUAAAUGACCACAAGGAGAUUGAUCUUUACCCACAAUUCUCGCACAACAUCAUGAAUAUACACAGCUCGGUAUCCUCGAUACCACCGUGAUCCUUACGGCGAUCACAACCCGACCAACACUUGGCCCGUGAUCCUUACGGCAAUCACAACCCGACCAACACUUGGCCCGUGAUCCUUACGGCGAUCACAACCUGACCAACACUUGGCCCGUGAUCCUUACAGCAAUCACAACCCGACCAAUAAAUGGCCCGUGAUCCUUACGGUUAUCACAACCCGACCACUAAAUGGCUCGUGAUCCUUACGGCGAUCACAACCAACUUAUCGCAUUGUUAUUAAGCACAUUAUUCUUAUUACUGUUGACUCACGGUGUGACCUACUUUCGACCUGGGCCCUUAUCCGCCGGCGCGGCUAUCGAUAGAUUUAAUAUACACUCUGUAGAGGUUAGUACACUGUACCCACACUACGGAAUCCAUGGCCUCGCACUCCCAUUUGGGUGGACCAACGGCGUUCCGACAAAACCGUCCUACUGCCAUGACACUCUCCCGGCCACGCCGACUCACUACCCUCUGGGCUAAGUCAUGGGUGGCCCCGUGUCUACCUCAAGACACCUCAACGACCACCGUCGUGGCCCAAACAUAAACGAUCCCACACGGGGACCUGGAUCCAUAAACUCAUCAACAGGCACACAAGGCUUAUGUCCGCCUACCUGAUCAGGGUAGCGCGCGCCAAUAACCUUCCCUCGUUGGAGGCACCGGCGAGAGGCACGACAAUAGACCCAGUUAGGACCGUCCCAUACCGGUAAGCGUGGUUGCACUGGUCAGCAUCGUUUCAGCGGCACCAUGACUCAGCCAACAGUUGUUCAAGUUCAUAUUAGUCUGGUUAACUUGAAUGCAAAUAUGUUGAGCCAUGAUAAAAUGCAUGAACAUAAUAUCAACAUAAUCAUGAGGGUAUCACAUGACUAUCCACCAUAUCAACAAUAAAUCAUAUCCACUGAGCAUGGCAUACUGACUAGCAUGACCAUCACCAACAUCAACAUGUACUACGAGCAAGCAUAAACAUAUGAAAGGAAAUACUAGCAGGUAGGACAUGAUAACAGAGUACAAAACAACAUAGCACAAAAGUGAACAUGCAAAUCUAAACAUCACCGGAACAACGAUAACCAUCUUUUCAACAAGCAAACAUUUAAUAAAGAUUUAAGUUGAAAACCAUGGCUACUGCAUGACUAUCAUGAAAGUGGGUAUUGUGGCUUGCUUGGGUGGAAGAAAUCACCGGGGAGAAGUGCGAGAAACUCGCGGAACGAAUCGCCGGAAAAUGUUCUCUCUCGGAGGGGGCUGAAUAAGGGCAAGGGCAUAAUGGUCAUUUCCAUAGUGUCAAACCAUAGUGAAAAUGAAACCAAUAGAACGGGCUCGACGAAACGAAGAAGUGGGCUUUGGAAUCACCUCAUUUGGAGUUACGGAUAAAAAGUUAUGAGGGGUUGAAGUUCAAGGACUUUUCUGCAAAAAUAACAUCACAACCAAGUCCCUAAGUGGAUAAGGCAGAAAUGGGUUUUCAGAAAUACGAUUUCGGAAAGCAAAGACAUAAUCAGUGGAUUACGUAUCCACUUAUCCACGUCAGCGUACCUGGGUCAACGCGGGGCCGGCGGGCUGGGAGGAUGACGGGCGGGUCCCACGGGCUAUGGGGCCCAUCACUUAUCCACGUGGGCAGCCCAGGUCAAUGCCCGCUCGCCGACGGGUGGGGCUGCGUGGAGAUGGGGCCCGCCUGGCCCGAGGUCGUUGUCCACCUCAAGCCUCCCUGCGAGGCAGAGGAGGACCGGCGUGCUCCGGCGACGAGCUCACGUGCCACAGACCGCCUCCGGCGAGGCUACGGGCACCGGAGAGAUCGGGGAGAGGCGCCGCAUCCAUCCCGCCUGGGCACGGAUGCCAAGGAGGACCGGAGCGAUGAGGGAGCAGACUCCGACGGAGAUGGCUUCGGGUGGGAUUUGGCUACGGGGCUGCGGGGCACUCCGGCGAGGGGAAAGGAGUUGGGGCGAGUAGCUGGACUCCGGGGGGGCUACUGGUGGGGGCAGAGCGGAGGGGAAGGGCUCGGCUUUCCCAAAUCGAAGAGGGGCAGAGGCUGCAGCCAUGGCGGCAAGGACGGGCUUAGGAGCUCUUGGAGCUCGAGCGAGUGGACGGGGAGGGAGCUGGGAGACAGGCGAGGCCAGAGGUGAGCUCGAGAGGCUCGGGGGAUGGCUAUUUAUAGCCGCGGGGCGAGGUGGCUGAGCUGGCACCACCGCAGACGCGUGGACGGCGCCAGGGACGCGUGUGCUCAUGCAUGGGCUCGGGCGAAGGCGAAGGCGACGCACAGGGAGGAACUCACGGGGUAGAAGAGGUCGAGGAACGCAGGGAGGAAGACGACGGCGACGAACAGAGCCAAAACGCCACUGUGCUCUCGUGGGCGUUCGGUGACAAGCGUCUGUGAGGAAGAGGACGGAGGGGGAGAGGGGUCCAGGGGAACGGCGACGAUGAGAGGAAGCCAAGGGACAUGCUCGCGAGUGCAAAGACAUCGAGAGGGGGAGGGGGUCCAGCACAAACAGCCACUGGACGCGGCCACUACACACAGAGCACGUGCACAGGCACGCCAUUGUCGUGGUCACCACGUGCACUGGCAUCAAGAGGGGCCAAAUGGCUGGCAAAUGUUGUCUAGUGGUAAGUCCGUCGAAGGUGGGUUUCAACUGAGGUGGUAGUUUGGUGAAAACGUCUGUGGUUAAAAGGUUAGUGAGCUCUAAAGUUACUGCAGUAAACUUUAUCAGCUCAAUGUGAUCAACAGGGAUAUGCUAUGGGCCAAAUAUGUUGUCUGGAGUGUUCAGCUAUGGAGGGACUAUGAUCCUGGAGGUUUUGAGGGUAGAUGGACCCAUAUUUACUGCAGUUGCUUCACAACUGACCAAAAUGGUCCAGAAACUAGAUCAACAAGAUGCACUCACAUGGAGUGUUCACUUGAGCUCAAAUUGGGCAAGGCUUGAUCAUUUGGUCAUAUGAAGUUGCUCACCAAGUAUCAUACCAUUUGGCAAAGCCAAAAUGGUACUUGCUUCACAAACAUCUCUACUGACCAGAAACUUGAAAUAAUAUUGGUGAUCAAAUGGCUCAAUGAAAUGAUGCCAAAUUGAGUUGAGAUAGGUUUUAUGGGUAUAAUAAUGAUCUGGUAAUUUAUCAGGAUUUUUGAAGCAAUAUAAAAUAUACUUGCUUCACAACCUGAAAAUAUUGCCAGAAACAAAGAUUUGCUUCUGUGCUCACAUAGAUAAUUGGAUGGGGCUGCAAAUGGGUGGAAGGGGUUAAAAUGAGCACAUUAAGGAGUGUGCAAAAGUUCAGCUCAUUUUGGUACCCCUAGCUAGUACUUCCUUCACAAAGCCUUCUGUUUGACAGAAACUUUGAAAAAUCAUAGAGGAAGAUUGGCUAGGCAAAUAAAUUUGAAUUGUGCAUGGGGCAACUAUUUGGUCAUAUAUACAUGACCAAAAAGGUUGGGAGUCACUAGGAAAAAUAUAAAUGACACUUCCUUCACAAAGUGCCAUUCAGGGCAGAAUAGAAAAAGGAAUAUUGGGGAAUUAUUUUUGAACAUGGCAAUGAAAAGUUUUGCCAUAUUUGAUCAAGAUAUGACCCAAAAAUUUAUGAAAAUUAUUUGGGAAAUUUUGGAGUGAUGGAAUUAUAGGUUGCUUCACAACCUAGGGCAAUUUGAGUUAUUCCUUUAAUAGAAAAAGAAUAUUCCCUAUAAAAAGAAUAUUGGGAUAUGGGCUAGGAUGAAAAUGACAGGGUCUAGGGAAGUAUUUGGGAAUGACAAGCCACUCUGGAAGCAAAGAAGAGGUCAUCUUCUUCAGUUUCCAGGCCACAAAGCCACGAAAAAGAAAAACUCAGGCAAAAACCUCGGAAAAACAAAAGAAAAAGAAAGGGCCAAAAAUCAGGCUGUCACACGCGGCCUGCCAGAUGUGUGCUUGGUGGAGAUGAAGGCGACAUCCCACACCCACACCCAGCACGCGGACGUCCGGGUGUGUCCGCGCUCGUGCGUGCGGGUGUCGAGGCAGUCGAUGAUGCAGUUUACACCGAGCACCUCCACUGCGCCCUCCAGCGACCACAUCUGCAGCGACAUCUUCUCUCUGACCACGCACACGUGCAACAUGAAGUCCUGGUGCACGACGUGGUCAUCCUCGUGCCACGGCUUGAUGGUGAAGGUGACGCCGUCGACGGAGAGGGAACCGAGGCGGACGGCGUUGUCGUGGUGGGCGGGCAGCUCGAAUAGCAGUAGGAAGUCCUUCGGAUCGUGGCUCGUGACACGCAGCAGGUGCACCGGCGUGCGGAGCGCGGCGUCGAACGCGCGCCCCACCGACAUGGGAUUCGCCGCGUGCCGCUCCCCCUGAGCGGUCAGGAGAACGGUGUGGCGACGGAGGAAAGCGGUCUGGUGCUCCAUUGUCGGCAUCUCGAUGACGACCUUGUGGCUGUUCCUCGGGCGCCUGGAGGGGUCGGUGUGGUGGCAGCUGUCCAUGGUCGGCUCGGGUGCCAGAGGCGAAGGGAAGCGGAGGCAGGAGCGGACUGGGCCGCGGGCGACGGCCCCGCGCACUACUUCAGAUGACCUACUGCUCUGGGAGUUGCAUGGAUUUUUUGGGCAGUCGCGGGCGAUGUGCCGGGGAGCUUGCACCCAAUGCAGUGGAUAGGAUCGCGGCAAUCUACGCGGCGAUGUUCAGAGCUUAGACACCGGAAGCAGAGCCCCUUGAAACGCCUUAAGAAGACCUCUCGCCCGGCACCAGCGGCAGCAAUGAAGGCAGGCCGGUGGCAUUGACGUCGGCGCGGUCGUCCACCGGCAUGGGCGCGCGCACUGGCCCGGCACGCGUUGCGGGACUGGACCUGUGUCCAGCCAUCAGCCUGGCCCGAAGAGGGAGGGGGCAGCCUAACAACAAUGGACUUGAGGCGGGGCUGCCCAAAAUGGCGAUGCGCUUCAUUAUCCGGAGGAGCGGAGGCGGCCGCGGCGUUGGAGCUCUCGCCUCGCAGCAGGAUUCGCGGCGGAGGGGCAUGGAGAGGCGCGGGAGAGCCGGGGGACGCCGGAGUGCCCGGAUCUGCCGACGGACCGUUGGGCAGAACGGGAUCUGGGAUGGGCGCGGAGUGGCCCCAUCCCACGCUGUCCCGCGAGCUGGAGCGGGUUGAAGAGGGGGGCGCGGGGAGCGGGCGCGACCCAUGCCGCAGGUGAGGUGGCGCCGCUGACCGGGCGGUCAGGCGACGGAGAUUGGUGGCCGCCGCGGCCGGAGUGGCCGACGGCGCGUGCAGGAGGGGGAGCGCACCUUUCAAUCCAGGCGGGUCCCUCGCUCCUUCACCCCCGUAGUAGGUUAGAUCACAUCAAUAUUAAUUCUCUUUAUUUCACAUCCUUCCCGACAACCACCAAUGUACAUGGUCACAAUCUUAGGCUCUAGUUUGUGGCAAGCUAGGUCUUGCCACAGUGAAUUCCUCACAAUGAGGAGGAAUACGACAAAGUUAACAAAGGCAGUGACACUUUUUGGGAAAUGAAAAUUAAAAAUAUUUGUGCAUCACACCAAAUGGCCAAUAUAACCAGUUUUUUUUUACAAAAAUGAGGAUAACCCUCGGUCUCUACAUCAGAACGAUGCAUAUAGCCAUAUAUUAGAAUGCAAAAUCGAGCAGCCAAACAACAUCAAAAACCCGAGGCCGCAUGCCUCUCGCGACAGUAACUCCAUUAGAUAACCUCUAGCUACAGUAACUUCAUCAGAUAACCACUAACCCUAUGUUACAAGAUGACAGCAAAACGAAAAAUACACAAUUCUUAGGCCACAUCUUCAACAGGAAUUGCCGCACGUGCGCCGAUGAUGGCGAGUCUAACACAAGGUUGAACUAUGGAUUCUCAUCCUCAAAGCCAAGCUUCAAUCCACCACCUUCAGCAAGGACACAAAGCAGACGCGCGUCGACAUAGUCUGAUCAUAGAUCUUGUGUUUCCACCGGAGUGCAUAAAGUCGUCGUUGAAGCCGUGUGUACCAUCAUCCCUUAUCCUGGUACCGACGCCUCGAUAACUGGAUACUCUGGAGAAGACACCAGAGACAGACGUCCCAUACCGCCUGCCUCCCGCCACUGUCGCACCACCUUCGAUCCAGCAGCAACAGGCUAGACAUGAGACCUCUGUCAGAGCCAUUGUGCAGCACGUGCCAGUAGCAGGCAUGGCUUGAUGUCCCCGCAUGAGACGUAGUGCGCAGCAUUUGCCGGAGGCUUCACCUGCCGGUGACAGGCACUGCCUGACGACUCGAAAAGAGACACAUGGCCAAUAUAAUCAGGUGAUUGUCUAUUAUAAUUUGCAUGUGGUUUUCAAAAUCUAACAACUAACACCUCUCCUCAUAUGUGACCACUAAAUUACUGCCGGUCUUUUGCAAGUUGUUCGUUGUGCGUCUUCUUUGCUUCUACCUCUUCUUCUUCUUCUUUAAUCUUUUUUGGUUGUGCGCAUAUCCUCGAUGUUUCGACUAGUUCUUGAUAUUGUAUCGUUGCAAAGGUUGGGUGUCACGGGUAAAAAAAUGUGCAAUUUCAGAUGACCUGUAUAUGCAAAAAUUCCAGCCAAGUAUGAAUUAGCAAAACUAUACAACUAAAUACCCCGGCCCUUCCCCUCAAAAAUAAAAAAUAAAAUACUCAAUGCGUGCUCGUCCUAGAAAAUGGAUUCCCCAGUGCUUCGUCCUAGGCAGUGCAUUGCAUUGUACAUGGCCUGCCUAGAUCAGGACAAAUGUGUUCCAGGCUUCCAGCACAGGAUAAGGUGACCAAGUGUCACGACCAGCGUGUACCAGGUAUGGAGGAGCCGCACGACAACAACGAGAAACAAUCUAUCAAUCCCAGUUGCUGCUGCUCCCGCCGGAUGGCACCAAAAACACAAGCAUACGCCGAAGCUUGCGCACAGUUGCAACCAACGUGGCCGCGCGGCCGCCACGCACAGGCGCCUCAGCGGUCAGCAGCACCUCCUCCCAAAUCCAAAUCCCGGCGACGCGAACGGAUCCGAUCUCUCUUGUCUUCUCCGGGGCGUUCCACUUCCAGCCGGUUGCUGUUCCUUGAAAGGCAGCACUAGGGAUGGGUCGCCCAUGUGCCACGCGAGCCGCGCCGGGAGUUGAUUGCCGGAGUUGCUGAGAAAUGCUGCGCCUCCAUACCCUGUGAUCGUCUACCUGGAACCCGCGGGAAUGGUGGUUGUUCUUCGGACUUCGGCGUUCCAAUUCCAGUCGGCGCGAAUUAAAUGGGGAGUCUGUUCUAAAAGAAGAUGAAUUAAAAGGGAAAUCUGGUGCUGCCUGAGACCGACCAGGAGUAUGUACAUUUCUGGCAUUGAUGCCAGUUAAAGGAAUGUUUGGCUUUAGGAAUUUUUGUUCAAAAAGACCACCUGCCCAAUGCAAUUGACAGAAAAGAUCACCCUUGAAUCAGAUUGGCAGAAGAGACCAGCUAGAUCGUGGCGGCAGGCGCGCCAGCCGACACGUGGCGCCUGCCGUCACAUGCGGAGGCGGCAGCCCCUGCCGCCACAAGCCCAGGCGGCAACUGCCGCGAAACAGAAAACAACGCCCAGCGACGGAACGGAGUUGGCCGUGGGACCCGGCUCUCAGCCCACGUGGAAGCUGCCGCCACUCCACCAGGCGGCAUGCACUAUUUUUCCAUAUGUUUGAAUUCUAUACAAGGCGGCUGGAGUGCACGAAUUUUUGUUCAAAAAGACCACCUGCCCAAUGCAAUUGACAGAAAAGACCACCCUUGAAUCAGAUUGGCAGAAGAGACCAGCUAGAUCGUGGCGGCAGGCGCGCCAGCCGACACGUGGCGCCUGCCGCCACAUGCGGAGGCGGCAGCCCCUGCCGCCACAAGCCCAGGCGGCAACUGCCGCGAAAUAGAAAACAACGCCCAGCGACGGAACGGAGUUGGCCGUGGAACCCGGCUCUCAGCUCACGUGGAAGCUGCCGCCACUCCACCAGGCGGCAUGCACUAUUUUUCCAUAUGUUUGAAUUCUAUACGAGGCGGCUGGAGUGCACAACGGUCCAGCGCAGGCAUAGUUGGAGCUGCGCUGUUCAGGAACGUGAGCAUAGCUGAUGAGAUUUGUUGCUGAAAAAAACCUGCAGAUAUGUUUUUUUUUAUUUUUGAGCUGAAGCCUGCACGUACUCCCUCCGUCCGAAAAUAUUUGUCAUCAAAACGGACAAAAAUGGAUGUAUCCAGAACUAAAAUACAUCUAGAUACAUCCCCUUUUAUUCAUUUUGAUGACAAGUAUUUCCGGACGGAGGAAGUACGUGGAAAGCAUGACAUGAUAAGAGAUGAAAUUAUGUAGAGGGAUCCAGCGGCCCAGCAGGGUCAAAAUAUUUAAGGGAAACAGUACAGGCCGCCUGGUGGACUGGCGGCAGCCUCCACGUGGGCUGCGAGCCAGGCCCCAUGGCCCAUUCCGUUCUAUUGCGCUCGCCGCUGGGCACCAAUUUCUGUUUCGCGGCAGCUGCCGCCUGGGCCUGUGGCGGCAGGUGCUGCCGCCUCCCCUCGUGGCGGCAGGCGCCACGUGUCGGCUGGCGCGCCUGCCGCCAUAGAGCAGCCGGUCUUUUUUGCCAAUUCGUCUGAGAGAUGGUCUUUUUUGUCAAUUACAUUGGAUAAGUGGUCUUUUUAGACAAAAAUUCUGGCUUUAGGGCAACCUUAGCAUUGAUGAGACUCCCAAGGAACCGCUUUCGUUCCCUACUGCUAGUGGGGUAGGCGAUAUUGGAGGCCUAAUGUCGUGCUCCCUCCCUCCGCCGGUGAGGCCGUGGAUUCCCAUCUUCUCCGUGUGGCGCUCCGGCGUAGAUUUCAUGUUGUAUCUAGGAUUAGGGUUAGGUUUUGUGGGCAUUGAGGUGGUUGAUGGUUGAGGCAUCUACGAUCGAUCUUCGUGGUCUAAGUCCUCCUUUACCAGGCUACCCGACGUUAGUUUUACGUUUUCACCGUUGUUGUUUCAUGCACAUAAUUUUUCAUCGUCGUUGAAUGCUUUGUUGUUUUCUUUCUGCCCAGGCACGGUUUAUAUGGUUUUGCCUGUGGGCUGUCUUAACAAUUUUCUUUAACAUCUCUUUGUAUGUUGUUGAAAUCGGCGGAGCGUUAUUACGGUCGUGAGGACUUCCUAUGCAAUCAUAUUGAAUUUAAUGCUCUAAGCCCUAGGGUUGUCGGUUUCUCAUUAUGAAGAGAAAGUGUAUGCUAAUGAACAAAAAUCCACGUCCGUGUUACCUUUAGUAAGUCCAUGUUGUCGUUUGAAGGUGUCCUUGUUUCUAGGUACAGCAGUCCCUUUUUUUCUGGGUUUUUUGCUUCUCGUGAAAGCAAUGUUGUGCUUUUUUCCUUUUCGAGUAGAAGCACAGUUAUGCUUCUCGUGGAAGCAAAUAUGUACUUUUCGUAGAAGAUUUGCCUCUUGUGAAGGCACAGGUUACGCUUCUCGGGAAAACAAAUUUGUGCUUCCAUGAGAAACACAACCAUGCUACUCAUGAAAGCACAAAUGUGUUAAAAAAAGCAUUUCCCCCCUCCAAAACCUGAAAAGAAACAGCCAAAAACAUAAACCCCCCCCCCCUCCAAAAAAAACAUCUAAAACUCAAAAACGCGUGUAGAAAAAAAAGGUACAGAGGAAGCACCCAACACGCGACACAUGACGAUGGCUGGACGCACCAUUUGACGCGCUCCCAGACGACAAAAGUAACCCUUGGGGAGCUAACUUGUGGUUUCUUUCUUUUUGAAUCGAAGGCUAACCUUUGUUUUACUUAGGCUAACCUUUAGUUAGUUGCUCUGCAUUUCCCACCCAUGAUAUUUUUUGUCGGUCCAAAGAAAGGCCCUCUUAAUUUUGUUAACAUUGUUUAUAGAUAAGUCAAUUAAUCUCACUGAAAACUCAAUGGCCUCAGCCCACUAGGUAUGCGACUUUUCAGAGUCCAUCAUAUGAGAAAAUGCAUCUAAAAUAUCCACCCACCCCUAUAAAAAGAAAUCGAAAAUAUCAACGCAUGUUUUUUUUAAAUACUUCCCUUCCUUUAUUAGCUUUUGAUAAUUGUUACAUCAUUCAACAAGAGAGGGACAAUCUCUGACGGGGCAUCAUCCACCCACAGAGAAGAAUGUGCUCUCAUAGCCAUCCUCUCGUAGCCAUACUAGCUAGCUCAUGAGCUACUGUAUUUGCUAAUCUGUUACAAUGAUUAAAAUAAGUUCGAGAGAACUCGCAAGCCAGAUCGUAGAAAUCAUCAAAAAUAGCUGCCGCUACAAAUAUCCACGCGUGUUAAGAUGGCCUACUGGUCAAUUUAAGGUAUUGGGACUUGUUUCAAAAAAAAAUUUAAGGUAUUGGGCAACCUGUUCCUACUCUUUGGAAGAAGCCAGCCAGAAUGCCAGAUAUCCUGGUUCAUGAAAAUACUACUCCCUCCUAUACCAAUUAAUUAAUUGACCGCAGCGGCAUCAAUUAAUUCAAAGUAGCUAAUUUCAAUACUCCCUCCGUCACGGUUUAGAAGGCACAGUUAAAUUUGCGUGUGUUUCCACAAUAGACAAGAUUUAGGGCGCAUUGCAUUUAUUUCUAGUAGCUAAUUAGUACUUCGGAGUACUAUUUCUAUAUGCAUGCGUAGUAUGAAUGCUAUUUUUUAGCCCAUCUAACAAUCAAUAGAUAACCACCUAGGUCCCAGAGAAUUUCCAAACGCGCCUUUUAAACCGUGACGGAGGGAGUACUUGUCAUCAGCCGCACAAAGUAACAUCCAUCACAAUAGGCAAUAACUUAAACUAGUAACAUGCAUACGUUACUACUUCUUCUCUCUCAAUAUACAGGGCGUGCGCGUACCCUUAGGUCGUCAAUUUGACCAACCUAAUACAAGUCAUAUAUUACAAAAAAUAUACCAAUAUAAACUUCAUAUGUUCUAUUUUCAAAAGAUAUAAUUUUUAUGUUAUAUAGUUUAUAUUAGGGUGAUAAAAUUGACAACCUAGGUAUAUGCGUAGGACUUGUAAAUUGAGACGGAGGGAGUAGUCUAUAUUACUAUCUUUAUAGUGGGAAGAAAAGUGCUGUGCAGAAGAUAAACCAUGCACGACAACCGAACGAUGAUGAAACCAGCCGUCAACUGCACUUUAUUCAUGUGCAUGGACGGAUUGAUACACAUUAUCGUUCGCACACCAUCAUGUGCAUAGCAUCGCUCUAGUGGAAAGUAACAUAUAUGUGGUGUCAUGCAACACUUCAUUUAUUAGGUUGUAGACUCAUUUUGCCUUGAUAUGUGUGAUUGUUACUCACACUACUAGUAAUUAGCUAUGUUAUCACAUGACUCUUUUUGUUCAUUAAUUACUUGCCACAUCAUCUAUUUUGUCUAAAUAUGUGUUAUGUUACCAACUAUGUUAUUCCCACCGUGGGUAGUCUAAACCAGAACAACACUCAAGUAGUAAAGUGCAUCGGUUAGUCUGCUCAUGGAACACAUGAGCUGAACAUCAAAUUAUUUCGUAUAGAAGCGCCUGCAACAGGACAGCCCUGGUAAUAUUUCUCAUUUAUGUUACUUGCUAGAUGUCAAUGCAUCACACGUUCUGGCCCAAGCUUCUCUUCCUGAUCUUCUAUGAUACCACGGACAGAGAACAUUCCAAGUCUUGGACCCGAAAAUGUGACCGACAAAAGGAUAAACACUGGCGCAAAAGGUCUAGCUAGAUGAUUGUGUAUAUUCUUAC